UACGUAGGGGGCAAGCGUUAUCCGGAUUUACUGGGUGUAAAGGGAGCGUAGACGGCAUAGUAAGUCUGAUGUGAAAGCCCGGGGCUCAACCCCGGGACUGCAUUGGAAACUACUAAGCUAGAGUGCAGGAGAGGUAAGUGGAAUUCCUAGUGUAGCGGUGAAAUGCGUAGAUAUUAGGAGGAACACCAGUGGCGAAGGCGACUUACUGGACUGUAACUGACGUUGAGGCUCGAAAGCGUGGGGAGCAAACAGG
RNAcentral lists this ribosomal RNA (253 nucleotides) under uncultured bacterium. RNAcentral's name for it is "partial 16S ribosomal RNA". It matches the Rfam family "Bacterial small subunit ribosomal RNA", at positions 524 to 776 of the family's 1533-position model. The record is from RNAcentral.